RNAcentral lists this long non-coding RNA (4645 nucleotides) under Lactuca sativa (garden lettuce). Its description in RNAcentral is "long non-coding RNA (LSAT_LNC006143)". Lineage: Eukaryota; Viridiplantae; Streptophyta; Magnoliopsida; Asterales; Asteraceae. The record is from RNAcentral.
AGAUAUCCCGCUGACCCGCUCUCAGACUACUCCCAUUGGUGACCGAUGGCGACAUCUGUAACUCCUCCGCUCCCCGGAGACCAAAGCAUCACCUUCCUUCGCCGGAGAUCUAAGAAACUUUUGGAAUUCAAAAGGACUGGUUUGUAGUCAACCGUUAUAUAUACGUUAUUCAGUCAUUCCGCUCUCAACAAACCCAAACACACCCAGACCCAUAGCGAUCUAUGUAACUACACUUCCGGAGACGUAAACACCCACAACUUUCAAAUGAGACUCUCAUUCAUCUCUCUAGUCCUAGAAAUUAUCAAGAUCGUUGUAAGUUUUUCUAGGGUUUUUUUGUGAUUAAGAUAUUGUAAUUUCCAUUUAAAUAUUAAAUUGUUGUUUGAAUAAGAAAGAAUCAAAGGUUAAUUGAUAAUUUUUUUUCCUCUCUGCUCGUUGGGGUUUCUACUUUCUAGUAAAACACACUCCAAUUUGCUUAUGUUUUACUGAUUCGUGACUGAUUGAUAUUUUACCAUAAACAAAUUAACGGAAGAUAGUUUAUAUUUUUAUUGCAUUUAGCCUUGUUAUCCGAUGUAUGCGUUUGUGUGAUGAAGAACAGGGCUCUGGAGUCAGGAUAUAUCCAAAUAAGAAAUUUUUUGAUGUGUAAAACUAAUUUAUGUGUAAAAUUCGGUAUGUAUUUGUUACUGAUAAAUGUUUCAUGUUAUCUUAUAUAGGAUUGAUAAGAAACUUACAUUGGACUCAUGGAUUAAUUUUGCACUGGAUCAGGUUUCACUGAAUGGACUUAAUCAGAACAACUGAACAAGACUUAAUUCAGUAAGGUUGUUUCUUUUUACUUAAUGCAUAAAGAAAGGCUUAAUGCAAAAUGCCAAGGAAAGAAGGUUUUCCCAAUUAGAGGUAGUUAUAACCUUUAGGCUACAAUAAACCUUUUCCAUUUAUAAAAAUGCCAAUUUUGAAGUUUUGAUGAUUACUAUAUUAAUGACUGAAGUGGUGUAUUUCUUUGGUCCAAGGCAAAAGAGAUCGAAUUGGCAAGUGGGAUUAUUAUUUUUCUCCCUAAUUCUACAAAAUUUAUAAAUUAUUGAAUUAAGUAGUGCUUUUAUUUGUUAGGAAUAAGCUACUGUGAAGAAGAACUAUGGUGAGAAGGUGCUUAUUCAGGUUAGCUGAUAAGUUGAUUAAUGAGGGGUCAUCAUAUUUAAAUUUCUGAUUAUAUAAAUUUCUUUCAAAAUACAGUGCCACCCAUGCAGUGAUGAUGUAGUUUUAACCUUAUCAAGGAGAAUUUAUAGGGAUUAGAACUGUAUUCUACUCUCGCGACCAAUGUGGGUAAUUUACUCUUAAUAGAGCAAUGUACUUUACAUAUUACAAGUUAAAGUAAAUAUUCUAAAAAAAAUUAAGAAAUAGAAAUCAAAGUAAGAUGCUAUAAUAGACAAUAAAAUGAAAGUAUAUUGCUAUUUCAUGCAUAAAACCCAUGAUUGGGCUAAAUGCAAGAAAAAACAAUUUUUUUUAUUACAUAUUACAAGUUAAAGUAAUUUAAUGAUCCUCCAAAUAACCUUUUUUUUUUUUUUUUNCCCCCCAAAAAACUUUUUUUUUUUUUUUUUUUUUUUUUUUUUUAAUUUUGCUAAUUCAUGACUGUUUGACACUUUAGUGUAAACAAAUUAACGAAAGAAAGUUUAUAUUUAUUGCAUUUAGCCUUAUUAUCUGGUAUAUGUGUUUGUGUGAUGUAGAACAGGGCUCAGGUUAUAUCCUAAUAAGAAAAUUUUGGAAGUGUAAAACUAGUUUAUGUGUGAAAUUCUGUAUGUAUUUGUAACUGAUAAAUGUUUCAUGCUAUCUCAUAUAGGAUGGAUAAGAAACUUGCAUUGGACUCAUAGAUUAAUUUUUCACUUUAUCAAUUUUGACUGAAUGAGUUCGAAACUUGGCAGCAGCAUUGACUCUUUUGAUUUUUUUUUUUUGACUGAAUGAGCUUAAUCAGAACAAAUGUGUAAGACUUAAUUCAGUAAGGUCGUUUCUUUUUUACUUAAUGCAAAAUGUCAAGGAAAGAAGGCUUUUCCCAUUAGAGGUAGUUAUAACCUUUAAGUUACAAUAAACCUAUUCCAUGUCUAUAAAAAUGCAAGUUUUGAAGUUUUGAUGGUGAAUUAAUGCUUUUUUUUUAUGCUUUGGGUAGUGUUUGAAACCAUUUUAAUAAUGAAUGAAGUGGUGUAUUUCUUUGGUCUAAGGCAAAAGAGAGCGAAUUGGCAAGUGGGAUUGUUAUGUUUGUUUUUUUCCCUAAUUCUACAAAAGUUAUAAAUUAUUUAACUAAAUAGUGUUUUUAUUUGUUAGGAAUGCAUAUGCUAUUGUGAAGAACUAUGGUGAGAAGGUGCUUAUUCAGGUUAGUUAAUAAGUGGUCAUAUUAGUCUUUGAUCUUCUUUCAAAAUACAGUGCCACCCAUGCUAUUUUCAAUGAUGAUAUAAGUGUAUUAAUGUAGUUUUAACCUUAUCAAGGGAAAUUUAUAGGGAUUAGAAAUGUAUUAUAAUACUCUUGCGACCCAAUUUCUCUUUUUUCCCUCUUCCUGUAAGUAAUUUUGAGCAAAUUGUUCAUCUUUAUUGGAUUCUGAUUUUUUUUUUUUAUAUUUUUUUAUUAUUACAUUUCAGGCAAACUGAUAUUUUUUGCAGUAACAAAUCGCUUUGUAUUUGGUUAAACUGGGUAGAUUUUUGAAAGUAAAAUGUUGAAAAAAGAUGAUAGAGAUGAAUAUUGUUAUAGUCUAGACAUGAAAGAGAUGAAUUAGAACAAUUGAGUAGGAAUCUGAUUGAAUGAUUAGAGUAAAAUCACUCCAGAAACAGGAUACCUAACCACUUGUUAACAGUCCUUAUUUGUACUUGUAUUCACCACCGACUUAGCUAAAAGGACUAUAAUGCCCUUGACUCAAAUAAACACAAAAGUCAAACAGUCACAACAGUUACUUCCUAUUUCUUGCAAUUAGAUUCGCAGGAGAGGACACUCACAAACCAUCUUUAUUAUCAUUUCUCACCUGUCCCUUUUACUUCAGUUCUCUAGGGAUAAAUUUCAGGAAAUAGCAGCAUACUUCUUGUAUUUCAUAUGUUAAGAAAGUAUGUAUUUCAUCUUAUUCUUUCUGGUGGCUUACUUUAAUUUUACUCUUCUUUCUAAGUUUGUGUGUUUCUGUUUUUAAAAGGAUUCAUUUUCAUAUCAGAUAUGAGGACACUGAAAGGUAAUUAACUUCAAAUUCUCUUUGUUGUCUUGUUACUGUGUUUCUAGCUAAUUCCUUUUGUAUUAUAGCAAUCCUGACCUGUGUUGGAUGCAAUUUCUUGAUAUCAUUGAUGUGAUAUUAUUAUUCUUUUUAAAUACUUGGGUAUCAUGUUUUGGGAUUCUUUAGUUACUUUAUUUCUAUUAUGGGUAUUUUUCUGUUCUCCAAAUUGGUAUGAUUGGUAUGUAAUGUAUUCAGCAGUGUAAAUUGAUGUUUUAGAUUUCAACCACCAUGUCAUUAUUGUUGUAAUUAGGAUCAUCUUCAGAUUUGGCACAAAGGAUGGAAAACCAGCCAAUGCUCCUUUAGUUCACUAGAUGUGAAUUUUUGAAAUUUCUCUAAAUAGUUUUCAUAUUUUGAUGCGUCCAUUUCUCUUUCUAAUUAUACGCAUCUAUCUACCUUUUUUAAUGGUUAUGUGUUGACGAUUGAUGUUCAUGUAUCUGUGUAUGCCUUGGAUAAUGACGUCUUCAAUUUUCUGGAUUUGUGUUUAGCAAUAUAUCCUUUGCUAGACUGAUGGUAGUAUAUAAUAUAGUUAUCACUUUCUUUAUUAUUAUUAUUAUUAUUAUUAUUAUUAUUAUUAUUAUUAUUGUUAUUAUUAUUGUUUUGUAAUUAUUAGAUUGUUUAUUAUAUAUGUAGUAGUAGGAUAUACUUUUUUUUGGCAUAAUAGACGUUGGAUACCUUAUAAGGGCCAAACCUCAAAUCCUUAUAUGUAUAUGCAAUUAUGCAUACAUAUUUGUAUAACAUAAGAGCAGUACCAUUUUCUGAUUUUUUUUUCAGUGGCAGUAUGUAUGUUACAAUCUUUUCUGCUGAAAUUUGAUCUAUAUUUUAUUUUUUCUUAAUAUGUCUCAAGUUUCCAUGUGCAUCUGUGUAGAUCAAAUAAGUCAAAAUAUAUUUAUGAUUUUUGAAAUGUGGUCCGCUUAAUUUCAGGUCUAGCAUUCCCUCCUCUUUAACAUCUAUAGUGGAGUCAGGGAUCUUUUUUGCAAUUUUGGUUCUUAUUUAAUGGUUUCAGUUUUAUAAUGCUUUUUACUACCCGGGUGGUCCUCAACUCUAAAAUGAUCAUUUUGUCAUCUCUUUUAUUUUCAUUUUCAUGGGGUGUUAUGAAAUUUCAUCGAAAUUCCUUCAAAACUAUUGUCAUGUAUGCUCAUUCGACGGACAUUAAACUUAACCAAUAACUAUCAAACGACCCUUAAGGUGUUUUAUGUUUUGAACCCAAAAAGUAACGAGAUUAUUUUGUUCUAAGAUUUUUUCGAAGAUAGUAUAUUAUGUUUGUUUUUUGAAAAACCUUUACUUGAUCAUAUUUUCAAGGUAACCCUUGACCAGCUGAUAACUUGUUACCGGCUAAAAUUACCCUUACGCCAAACAAAGUGAUGGAGGAGCGGUUUUUAAACUGCACUAGUAACACCACACCCUGAGUGCGGG